Molecule: transfer RNA, 87 nt
Filed under: Candidatus Tayloriibacteriota bacterium
Lineage: Bacteria; Candidatus Tayloriibacteriota
Description: tRNA-Ser
Rfam family: tRNA
About the family: Transfer RNA (tRNA) molecules are approximately 80 nucleotides in length. Their secondary structure includes four short double-helical elements and three loops (D, anti-codon, and T loops).
Source: RNAcentral
GGAGAGAUUGGUGAGUGGCUUAAACCAACAGUUUACUAAACUGUCGAACCUUUACGGGUUCCGCGAGUUCGAAUCUCGCUCUCUCCG